This 287-nucleotide long non-coding RNA is filed under the name Equus caballus (horse). RNAcentral's name for it is "lncRNA (ENSECAG00000045667.1)". The record is from RNAcentral. Lineage: Eukaryota; Metazoa; Chordata; Mammalia; Perissodactyla; Equidae.
GACAGAGCAUAUGUCUCUCGCCCAAAUAUCCAAAGGCUUCCUAUCGCAAAGUAAAAAAAAAAAAAGGUGACCUUUGAGCAAGGACCUAAAAUAGAUUAGCGCUGAGCUAACAUCCGUUGCCAAUCCUCCCCUUUUUGCUGAGGAAGACUGGCCCUGAGCUCACAUCCGUGCCCAUCUUCCUCCACUUUAUAUGUGGGACGCCUACCACAGCAUGGCUUGCCAAGCAGUGCCAUGUCCGCACCUGGGAUCUGAACCAGCGAACCCCGGGCCGCCCAAGUGAAACAUGC